This 296-nucleotide long non-coding RNA is filed under the name Bos taurus (domestic cattle). Its description in RNAcentral is "long non-coding RNA NONBTAT009169". The record is from RNAcentral. Lineage: Eukaryota; Metazoa; Chordata; Mammalia; Artiodactyla; Bovidae.
GUUGAUAUACCUACCUUGAUAGCUUGUGAAGUUCAGAGAUCAGACAAUCCAGGUGCUUAGUGUGUGGAGCUGAUAGUAGAGAGAAGGGGGAGCAGCAGGCGGGGGUCCCCCUGAGCUUAUUUUCCUACUACAGCACAACAUGCUCUGAAUAACAAGCCACAGGCAUUUCUGGGCACCCCUUGGUCCCACCUUAAAAAACUGGGAACAAUGAAAGUGUAACUAGAUUCAAACAAUUGUGGAUGAGCUCCUCUCUGGGGGAGAGGGGCAGUGGAGGGGGUAGGUUAAGUCAGAUACCC